CAGCAGCCGCGGUAAUACAGAGGGUGCGAGCGUUAAUCGGAUUUACUGGGCGUAAAGCGUGCGUAGGCGGCUUUUUAAGUCGGAUGUGAAAUCCCUGUGCUUAACUUAGGAAUUGCAUUCGAUACUGGGAAGCUAGAGUAUGGGAGAGGAUGGUAGAAUUCCAGGUGUAGCGGUGAAAUGCGUAGAGAUCUGGAGGAAUACCGAUGGCGAAGGCAGCCAUCUGGCCUAAUACUGACGCUGAGGUACGAAAGCAUGGGGAGCAAACAGGAUUAGAUACCCCAGUAGUCCCUGUCUCUUAUAC
This 301-nucleotide ribosomal RNA is filed under the name uncultured bacterium. RNAcentral describes it as "partial 16S ribosomal RNA". It matches the Rfam family "Bacterial small subunit ribosomal RNA", at positions 509 to 807 of the family's 1533-position model. The record is from RNAcentral.